Molecule: long non-coding RNA, 1020 nt
Filed under: Oncorhynchus kisutch (coho salmon)
Lineage: Eukaryota; Metazoa; Chordata; Actinopteri; Salmoniformes; Salmonidae
Description: lncRNA (ENSOKIG00005035607.1)
Source: RNAcentral
AUGAAUACUUAUACUAGUAUCAAAUGUUUUAGAAAAACAGCUUUUGCUUACAUAAUAUUAGAGCAUCAUGUUUACAUUGUGAACUUUUAUUUAAGGCCAAAUUGUAGACAAGUAGACAUAGGAAUGGGCCUGAGGAACAAGCCAAGGGCAACACGACCAGAAAUAGGUGAUAAAUUGGUAACACCUGACCCUCAUCCAAUGGUUGUGGAAGCAGUGAAAUGUGUACUACCCAGGAAGACUGCCUUAAACUUACUUAAGGCUUGUGAAGUAACCACAAACAUCCGAAGUCCAGUCUCCAAUACGUAUGAGAGAUUAGAUAGAGUGGUGAAAAUCUGUGUCAAUCUAUGGCCUGUCCUGGCUUCAGCAAAAGAGCCUGUAGAGGAAAGCAGUAGUUCGCUGGAUGAAGAGGAACCUGGGACCAGCACAGAUACAAGGACCUUCAACACAUCAAAGUCUGGUAAACUAUCCCUUACAACACGACUAGCACAUUCAGAGUGCAUGGGAAUGCCAGUGCCACACACAUCUCUGCCACAGAUAUGUGUAUCAGACCAAGAUGCCUUGGUCAAAUCCUCCAAGGGGACAAAAGCCAUUGAGAAUAAGGCUCCAUUUCCCAUGAUCCUAUUGCAGAAGACCAGCACUUUGAUGGACAGCACCAUUAUCUCCCAAUGUAGGUCUGCCCAGGUUCACCUCCCUGAGAUCUCAGUGUCCAGUAUAGAAGGCCUGCUUCAGAGAGUUACAGAGCGAGUGGGAAGGAGAGAGAGAAAGAGGGAUGAGACAUCGGGACUGACCAAUCCUGAUCAUCUUCUCACGGCUGGCGCGCUGCGAAACCUGAGAGAGAAGAGGCUCCAGCAUCGGGGAGACUAUAGCUCAGAGGGAGCGGUAAGAUGUCCAGAGGUCAAGCCAAUCGGUGGACAGAAAGGGACCACUCUAGUAACAGAGAAUGGAAUGCAGAACCCUGGCUCCCUCUGCAAUAAAACCAAACUGCCUGUCAUCCUUAGUAUGACCAAAGGAAGCCUUUGA